This 860-nucleotide ribosomal RNA is filed under the name Sanghuangporus alpinus. RNAcentral describes it as "partial 25S large subunit ribosomal RNA". It matches the Rfam family "Eukaryotic large subunit ribosomal RNA", at positions 102 to 938 of the family's 3401-position model. The record is from RNAcentral. Lineage: Eukaryota; Fungi; Basidiomycota; Agaricomycetes; Hymenochaetales; Hymenochaetaceae.
GAAGAGCUCAAAUUUAAAAUCUGGCGGCCUUCUGGACGUCCGAGUUGUAGUCUGGAGAAGUGUUAUCCGCGUCGGACCGUGUACAAGUCUCCUGGAACGGAGCGUCAUAGAGGGUGAGAAUCCCGUCCAUGACACGGACGCCCGAUGCUAUGUGAGGCACUCUCAAAGAGUCGAGUUGUUUGGGAAUGCAGCUCAAAAUGGGUGGUAAAUUCCAUCUAAAGCUAAAUAUUGGCGAGAGACCGAUAGCGAACAAGUACCGUGAGGGAAAGAUGAAAAGCACUUUGGAAAGAGAGUUAAACAGUACGUGAAAUUGUUGAAAGGGAAACGCUUGAAGUCAGUCGCGUCCCGCGGAACUCAGCCUGGUUUCGACCUGGUGUACUUUCCAUGUGGACGGGUCAACAUCAAUUUCGGCCGGUGGACAAGGGCGAGGGGAAUGUAGCGUUGCUUCGGCGACGUGUUAUAGCCCCCCGUCGUAUACACUGGUUGGGAUUGAGGACCGCAGCACGCCCUUGUGGCCGGGGGUUCGCCCCACGUAACGUGCUUAGGAUGUUGGCAUAAUGGCUUUAAGCGACCCGUCUUGAAACACGGACCAAGGAGUCUAACAUGCUUGCGAGUGUUUGGGUGGAAAACUCUUGCGCGUAAUGAAAGUGAAAGUUGGGAACCUCCGCGCGGGGGUGCACCGACGCCCGGCCCUGACGUUCUCUGACGGUGCCGCGGUAGAGCACGUAUGUUGGGACCCGAAAGAUGGUGAACUAUGCCUGAAUAGGGCGAAGCCAGAGGAAACUCUGGUGGAGGCUCGUAGCGAUUCUGACGUGCAAAUCGAUCGUCAAAUUUGGGUAUAGGGGCGAAAGACUAAUCGA